Molecule: ribosomal RNA, 241 nt
Filed under: uncultured bacterium
Lineage: Bacteria
Description: partial 16S ribosomal RNA
Rfam family: Bacterial small subunit ribosomal RNA
Source: RNAcentral
UGAGUAACCUGCCCUUAACUCUGGGAUAAGCCUAGGGGAAACUGGGUCUAAUACCGGAUAUGACUCCUCAUCGCAUGGGUGGGGGGUGGAAAGCUUUAUUGUGGUUUUGCAUGGACUCGCGGCCUAUCAGCUUGUUGGUGAGGUAAUGGCUCACCAAGGCGACGACGGGUAGCCGGCCUGGAGGAGGGUGACCGGCCACACGUGGGACUGAGACACGGCCCAGACCUCCGUACGGGNGCAG